This 253-nucleotide ribosomal RNA is filed under the name uncultured bacterium. RNAcentral's name for it is "partial 16S ribosomal RNA". It matches the Rfam family "Bacterial small subunit ribosomal RNA", at positions 524 to 776 of the family's 1533-position model. The record is from RNAcentral.
UACGUAGGGUGCGAGCGUUGUCCGGAAUUAUUGGGCGUAAAGAGCUCGUAGGCGGUCUGUCACGUCGGCUGUGAAAUCCCGAGGCUCAACCUCGGGUCGUGCAGUCGAUACGGGCAAACUAGAGUAUUGCAGGGGAGACUGGAAUUCCUGGUGUAGCGGUGGAAUGCGCAGAUAUCAGGAGGAACACCAAUGGCGAAGGCAGGUCUCUGGGCCACACUGACGCUGAGGAGCGAAAGCGUGGGGAGCGAACAGG